AGAGAGAGACAUGCGCGCAUAUCAAUAAGCGGAGGAAAAGAAACUAACAAGGAUUCCCCUAGUAACGGCAAGUGAAGCGGGAAGAGCUCAAAUUUGAAAUCUUAAAGGGUUUCCCUUUACGAAUUGUAGUUUAAAGAAGUGUUUUCUGUUGAGGUUUUGGUAAAAGUUCUUUGGAAUAGGACAUCAUAGAGGGUGAGAAUCCCGUAUUUGACCUUUACUUUCAACUUUGUGAUACACUUUCAAAGAGUCGGAUUGUUUGGGAAUGCAGUCCAAAAUGGGUGGUAAAUUUCAUCUAAAGCUAAAUAUUGGCGAGAGACCGAUAGCGAACAAGUACCGUGAGGGAAAGAUGAAAAGAACUUUGAAAAGAGAGUUAAACAGUACGUGAAAUUGUCAAAAGGGAAGCGUUUGACACCAGUGUUGUUUUUCUGAAAAUCAAUUAAAGAACUGUUUAUGCUAAGUUGUUUAGACCUUAUCAGCUAACUGUUUAGUUUUGAGCUUUUCUUUAAUGCACUUUUCAGUUAACAAGUCAACAUCAAUUUCUUUUGCUGUAAAAAAGCUUGAGGAAGGUGGCUUGAGAUUCGUCUUAAGUGUUUAUAGCCUCUUGCCUAUGCAGUCGGAGAGAUUGAGGUCUGCAGCGUAGAUCCUUCGGGGCUAAAUGCAUUUGUGCUAAGUUAUAGCAUUUUAUAGACAACUUGUUGACUAUGAUUUGUCUUGUAGCUUACUCGCUUAUGUUAUUUUACCUACGCUUAGGAUGUUGAAGACUCUACAGAGAUA
RNAcentral lists this ribosomal RNA (774 nucleotides) under uncultured Neocallimastigales. RNAcentral's name for it is "partial large subunit ribosomal RNA". It matches the Rfam family "Eukaryotic large subunit ribosomal RNA", at positions 23 to 626 of the family's 3401-position model. Lineage: Eukaryota; Fungi; Neocallimastigomycota; Neocallimastigomycetes; Neocallimastigales. The record is from RNAcentral.